GAUCUCAAAUCAAGUGAGGAUACCCGCUGAAUUUAAGCAUAUUAAUAAGCGGAGGAAAAGAAACUAACAAGGAUUUCCAUAGUAACGGCGAGUGAAGUGGAAUUAGCUCAAAUUUAAAAUCUAUUAUUCUGUAAUAGAAUUGUAAUUUUUGAAUAUGUAAUCAAUUGUUAAUUAUGAAUGAAAAUCUCUUGGAAAAGAGUAUCAAAGAAGGUGAUAAUCCUGUGAAUCAUUUAUAAUUAAUAAUUAUAUGUUUAUAUGUUUUAGAGUCGGGUUGUUUGGGAAUGCAAUCUUAAAUGGGUGGUAUAUCUCAUCUAAAGCUAAAUAUUAACAAGAGACCGAUAGCAAACAAGUACCGUGAGGGAAAGGUGAAAAGAACUUUGAAAAGAGAGUGAAAAGUACUUGAAAUUGUUUACAGGGAAACGCUUUAAUCCUUUAUUCUAUUUAUUCAAUUGCUGAUUUAUUUAUGAUUAUUAUUUUCUAUGAUUUCGUAAGUUUUAUAUUGAGUAUUAUGAAGUAAAUACUUUGGUAUUUUGAAUGAAAAGACGCAACAUCAAUUAUAAUCAAUUUAAAAUAAUUUUAUGGAGGUAGUGUUCGUUUCUUGGAACAAACAUGAAACAUAAUUUCUAUAAAUUGAAUAUAAUUGGCAUGUCAAAUUUAUGCCUCUAGGCUGUAAAGUAAGUGAUAUUUUAUAUAAAUGAUGAAGACUUCAAAGAAGUGUUUGUUAUUUAUGUUUUAUAUUUAUUUAUUAAUAAAAUAAAUUAAUGAUUGUUGCGAUAAAGAGUUAAAUCGACCCGUCUUGAAACACGGACCAAGGAGUCUAACAUGUAUACGAGUAUAUAAGUUUUAAAACUUUUAUGCAUAAUGAAAGUAAGAUGGUAAGAAUAUUCUUUAUGAAUAUGCAUUAUCGAUCAAUCUGGAUCCUUGAGUGAAAGAAUUGAAUAGAAGUAUAUAUGAUAGGACCCGAAAGAUGGUGAACUAUACUUGAGUAGAACGAAGACAGAGGAAACUCUGUUGGAGGUUCGAAGGGGUUCUGACGUGCAAAUCGAUCUUCAAACUUGAGUAUAGGGGCGAAAGACUAAUCGAACCAUCUAGUAGCUGGUUCCCUCCGAAGUUUCCCUUAGGAUAGCUGGAGCUCAUACAAGUUUUAUCAGGUAAAGCGAAUGAUUAGAGGAUUUGGGGCUCAAAGAGCUUCGACCUAUUCUCAAACUUUAAAUUGGUAAGAACCUCUAGUUUACUUAAUAGAACUGGAGGAAAGAAUGCGUUGUUCCAUGUGGGCCCUUUUUGGUAAGCAGAACGGGUAAUGAGGGAUGAACCUAACGUUGAGCUAAGGCGCCGAAAUCCCCGCUCAUGAGAUACCACAAAAGGUGUUGAUUCAUAUAGACAGCAGGACGGUGGCCAUGGAAGUCGGAAUCCGCUAAGGAGUGUGUAACAACUCACCAACCGAAUGAAUUAGCCCUGAAAAUGGAUGGCGCUUAAACGUAUUACUUAUACUUAAUCAUUAUUAUAAAAGUUAAAUAAUAAUGAGUAGGAGGGCGUACUGAUAAUAUUGAAGAUUUACUGUAAAGUGAAUUUGAAUUAUCUUUAGUGCAGAUCUUGGUGGUAGUAGCAAAUAUUCAAUAGAGAACAUUGAAGACUGAAGUGGAGAAAGGUUUCACAUGAACAUCAUUUGUAUGUGAGUUAGUCGAUCCUAAACGCAGGGUUAAUUCCUAAGAAUGAAUAAUUUAUUAUUCUAUUGUGUGAAAGGGAAAUAGGUUAAUAUUCCUAUACUAUAUCAAGGAGCUAUUAAAAAUGGUAACAUAAAUGAUAUCAAAAACAUUGGUAGAAUAACCAGGAAGAGUUCUCUUUUCUUUUUAACAAUUAUGAUGAAAAUCAGAAAACUAUGGAAUCAAUUUAUUUGGAGAAAUAGUUUAAAAAUUGGUAAAGCAAUCUAUUUUUUAGGAUUGUCUGGUAUUAUUCUAACAAUACAUUAAAAUUUGAUGGAAAAAAUUACUUUCUUGAAUAGUCGUACUCAUA
This 2013-nucleotide ribosomal RNA is filed under the name Tiarina fusus. RNAcentral describes it as "Tiarina fusa partial Eukaryotic large subunit ribosomal RNA". It matches the Rfam family "Eukaryotic large subunit ribosomal RNA", at positions 1 to 1852 of the family's 3401-position model. Lineage: Eukaryota; Ciliophora; Prostomatea; Prorodontida; Colepidae. The record is from RNAcentral.